Molecule: long non-coding RNA, 2022 nt
Organism: Gymnogyps californianus (California condor)
Lineage: Eukaryota; Metazoa; Chordata; Aves; Accipitriformes; Cathartidae
Exons: 3
Source: RefSeq, a predicted model, not a curated record
CAAUCAUGGUCUUCUGUGAAGAUAGUUUGAUUCUCUUGAAGGCCCCCAGGAAAGUGGGCAGGUUCACCUGUCUGAUCCCUUAGCAGUCCACGUGAAGCCAAGAGCCUGGUAAAUGGGUGCGCUACAGACUAUACCAUUUAUGUGAACAAAUUAAUCUCUGGAGCUUCCAAGAUGCAAAGAAAUAUUUGACAGCUGGGAACCAAAGAGAUUAAGGAAGAGAUUUUGCUACCUAAAAUCAGAGCGUUCUGCUAAUCCUCCAGGCAUGCCUCACAAGCUCUGCUGCUCCCACAGUCCAACUCUUCCUGUGCUGCAACAGCUCUGUCAUCAGCGAUAGUGAAAACAAAUGCUUUUUUCCCUCUACUCAGUGGCCCGUCAGCAGAAGUCAGUGAGCUAUCCGGGGAAGCCAGUUGGCAGGACAGCUGCAGGUUCUGCUACCUUAGUUCUAGAGGCAUGCAAGAGGAUUAGGCACCCAGUUCUGGAAUUGGGCGUCAGUCUGCCCUUUCUAGCUCUGAAGGCACCAUCCCUUGCUACAGGACCUAUCCACUCACAAUGCAAACCAGCUGAUGGACCUGGGACCUGCUGUGUUUCUGACUCUCUUUUGUCCUGUGAAGAUACAAAGGAGUUAACCUUUGCAGGAGGCAAAGAUUAUUGCUUCUUGGUUGCUCUGUCAGUGAAGCAAUGUAGCAUUUACAGUUCCUGGUUGUAGUUAGAUCUCUGAAAGCUACGGCUGCUACUCAAAGAUCACAGGUAGCACUCAUCCAUCACCUGGAGAUACAGUAAAGAGAGACAGGCCAAUCUGCAGCAAGCAAGUUUAUUUCAUCUCUUCUGACAUCUAUAGAUUAGGCAGCUGCCAAGAAGAUACAAUAAGGUGCUUCACCAGAAGUUACUUUCUGAAUUCAUCAGGAAUCGCUGAUGAGAUGAGCACAUGCUGAAGCUGUUGCUGGUCCCUGUCCCAGUGGCCGUAUCUCCACUAAUGAAGGAGCAACACUGAGCAUUCACUGUGUGUCAGACUUGGGUUAAUACACCAGGAUUUCUGGCUCACUAGCAAGAAACAGAGCACACAGAAACCCAGCUUCAUGCCAAGGCUUCAGGCAGGAGACAUGUGCCCUCCCUUCCCCCAUAAUCAUCUGUUCCUGAGUUGAUGGAGGCAGCCACUGAUCUGAAUGAAUGAGCAAGAUUCAGUGCGGCGAGAGAAGCAUCUGCUUGACUCAGGCCACCAAACAGCAUCUGCUGCUGGCGUUGUUUCUGAGUGACACCAAAGAAAGGACAGGACCCGAGGAGUGAAGGUUUCAUCUAAGAACUUGAGGAUUGUCCUAUUUGCCUCACCCCAGCAGCAGUGCUUUACAGAUGCAACUAUAAACAGCUACUGUAUGUUAAGAAUCAAGCUGGUAUGUCUACCUAGAGGGUAAAGGGUUGUUUUUCCCCACACACUCCCCAAAGGUAGCAAAAGAGCUGCUUCAUGGAGAAGAGAGCACAUCAUCAGCCAGCGUCUCAGUGGCUCACUGACAGCAUGCUAUCAACUGCUUAAGGGGGCACAAAUCCAUUUUUGUCUUUCUUUUUUGGCCCUGAGAAAAGAAAGGAGAAAAAAAAAAUGCAAUUUACCACGUGUCUGCAUCACUUCAAGCAAACCAGUCACACAGUAACUUCACUCACAAUUUCAGGCUCGGAGCCAGACAUUUCUAUCCAGGCCAUCAAUAAGUUUUGGAUGGGGAGCCACAGUGGGCAACAGAGUCUCAUAGCUAUUGUAGGCUUCAUCAUAAGGUGUCAGUAUUAAGCCUUCUCACUACCUCAUCCCCUGCUAGAAAAAUAAUUUCCUUGCAUGGUGUCUGAUUACCCAAGUGACAAAACCUCAAAGGCAGUUCAGAGAUAACAGGAGUCAGUGCAGGCCAGCGCCUUUCAAGAGACUUUCCAUCCUCUGUUAAGCUCAGUCAAAAUUAAUUGGGCCUGAGGGGUCAAAUUUUUGUAAACACAUUUAGGUACAGUUAGAUAUCUAAUUCCCAGAGUUGCCUGUGAAAAACUCAC